This is a long non-coding RNA of Rosa chinensis, 635 nucleotides long. RefSeq lists it as uncharacterized. The transcript is spliced from 4 exons. The record is from RefSeq and is a predicted model, not a curated record. Lineage: Eukaryota; Viridiplantae; Streptophyta; Magnoliopsida; Rosales; Rosaceae.
GAUGAUGAUGGGAGUCCUAAUGAAAGUGAUCGGAAAACGCUACGGCCUCCAAGUUGUUCCAAAACAUUCAAUGUUGAAAUUAGCCAUGCUGCAAAAAUUCCCAUGAAUUGAGCAUAUCCUUUUUUCAUAUUUCUGAUUAAAUUUAUGUAUUUUCAGCACCUUUCUUAUUUGUACUCCUAUAUGUUUAGAGUGAGAAGCCACUACCAAUCUAGAAUCUUUGACACCUGCUCACAUCUGUUUGAUGGCUUAUCCUCCAGAGCAAGUGAGGCUAACUUAGUCUUCUUUGGGGACUUUGAAGAAAAGAAUAGAAUUUUAGCAGGGUAGAGGGAACCCAAUCAUAUGACUUCACUGAUUUGUUCCAACUCGCCUGCACAAAGUAUUUCAAUGACGUAGUAGCUUUGCAAAAUCCGAGCCAAGUUUACAUUUUCAUUGACUAUGAAAGUCAGGGACUUCCACUUUUUGAGGUUUCUAUUAACAUUGCCCUACUGAUGAUAAAGUGCUCAAAGUGAUGGUCAAUUGAGAGAAUCUGCAUUUGGAUGGUUAAAUGUUCAAAAGAUGAUGUAGUAUAUUUUGUAAUAUGCUAUAUUCUUAACAUAAGUUUAAACUCAAGUUUGCUAGAAAUUGUACUUGGUCUG